RNAcentral lists this transfer RNA (92 nucleotides) under Cardinium endosymbiont cEper1 of Encarsia pergandiella. RNAcentral describes it as "tRNA-Ser". It matches the Rfam family "tRNA". From Rfam's summary of the family: Transfer RNA (tRNA) molecules are approximately 80 nucleotides in length. Their secondary structure includes four short double-helical elements and three loops (D, anti-codon, and T loops). Further hydrogen bonds mediate the characteristic L-shaped molecular structure. tRNAs have two regions of fundamental functional importance: the anti-codon, which is responsible for specific mRNA codon recognition, and the 3' end, to which the tRNAs corresponding amino acid is attached (by aminoacyl-tRNA synthetases). tRNAs cope with the degeneracy of the genetic code in two manners: having more than one tRNA (with a specific anti-codon) for a particular amino acid; and 'wobble' base-pairing, i.e. permitting non-standard base-pairing at the 3rd anti-codon position. The record is from RNAcentral. Lineage: Bacteria; Pseudomonadati; Bacteroidota; Cytophagia; Cytophagales; Amoebophilaceae.
GGAGUGGUGGCCGAGUGGCUUAAGGUGCCCGCCUGGAAAGUGGGUGUACCCCUAAAAGGGUACCGGGGGUUCGAAUCCCCCCUGCUCCACCC